CAGGUGAUGGUGCGGAUUUUGGUUAAGUUUGAUUUUGUCUUUAAUAAUUGGCUUAAAUUAGAUAAUUUUAUAUACAAGUUUUUGCGUGUUGUUCAAGUAUCUUAAAGAUAUUUUAGUUUAUUUGUAGUUUUUGGUUUUGUUAAUUUUUGGUAACAUAGAUUCAGUUAAUUUAUUAUAGAAUUGUGGAAAGUUGUGCCAGCAUAAGCGGUUAUACAAUUGAUUCAAGUUAAUUUUUUUGGUUAGUAUUAAUUUAUUGUUUUGGGAAUUU
This 268-nucleotide ribosomal RNA is filed under the name Mevanidea hystrix. RNAcentral describes it as "partial small subunit ribosomal RNA". Lineage: Eukaryota; Metazoa; Arthropoda; Insecta; Hemiptera; Coreidae. The record is from RNAcentral.